This is a long non-coding RNA of Drosophila willistoni, 178 nucleotides long. RefSeq lists it as uncharacterized. The transcript is spliced from 2 exons. The record is from RefSeq and is a predicted model, not a curated record. Lineage: Eukaryota; Metazoa; Arthropoda; Insecta; Diptera; Drosophilidae.
AACGCGAAUUCGAAUUCUCUUUUUUUUUGUUCAGUUUUUAGUUUGUGUCGCGCCUCCGUUUUGUAAAUACGCGAAAGACAUUUCGCCGAGUCAAAGUCGAGUCGAAAGAAAAGUAAACGGAAACAGCGGAAGUCACGGCACAAAUAGCCAUACACGGAUAAAAGCAGCAGCAGUAGCA